CCUUCCUCAAAAAGAUUCGUCCUCGAAUCUAAAAAAUCAAAUGAACUCGACUUUCCUCGAUCGAAUGGGACUAAUGGCAAUUGAGUCCACUGAAAAGAAUAGCCAUGAAAUAGUAAAUAGCAACGCAAACAAGCUUGUAGUCCAAUUAUAAGCAUAAUAGAACAGGUAUAACGCAUGUGAAUGGAUAGAUUCAGAUUACAUGCCUUAAUCGACGGUCUAUAGAUUCACUCACACAUGCAUUAUCAAAAACAAGAAUUUUUUUAUCAACCAUCAAAAUAGAUUUAUCAUCAAUAAAUAAAAUAGGACAGUCAAGCACGUUUCGAUCUAAGUGUUCAUCAACACGAUCUUUGUCGCUAUCCAAGGAGUACAAAAGUGUUUCAAAGGUUUCAAGCAUCUUACCUUGAUAAGCAAAAGAAUAAGGGUCGAUUUUACCUUUUUCAUUUAAAACAAACCUUCGUUCAUCGGGGGCAUAGUGUAGUCGAAUCUCUGUUGUUGAGUUAACCUUUGUCAAAUGGAACUCAAACUUCAUGUACAACCACA
This 540-nucleotide long non-coding RNA is filed under the name Gossypium barbadense (sea-island cotton). Its description in RNAcentral is "long non-coding RNA (GBAR_LNC003115)". Lineage: Eukaryota; Viridiplantae; Streptophyta; Magnoliopsida; Malvales; Malvaceae. The record is from RNAcentral.